Molecule: ribosomal RNA, 487 nt
Filed under: uncultured bacterium
Lineage: Bacteria
Description: bacterial SSU rRNA
Rfam family: Bacterial small subunit ribosomal RNA
Source: RNAcentral
GAUGAACGCUAGCGGCAGGCUUAACACAUGCAAGUCGAGGGGUAACAGAGAAUAGUUUACUAUUUUGCUGACGACCGGCGCACGGGUGAGUAACGCGUAUACAAUUUGCCUUUUACAGGAGGAUAGCCCAGAGAAAUUUGGAUUAAUACUCCAUGGUAUUACGAGAUCGCAUGGUUUUGUAAUUAAAGUUUCGGCGGUAGAAGAUGAGUAUGCGUCCUAUUAGCUAGUUGGUAAGGUAACGGCUUACCAAGGCGACGAUAGGUAGGGGUCCUGAGAGGGAGAUCCCCACACUGGUACUGAGACACGGACCAGACUCCUACGGGAGGCAGCAGUGAGGAAUAUUGGUCAAUGGAGGCAACUCUGAACCAGCCAUGCCGCGUGCAGGAAGACUGCCCUAUGGGUUGUAAACUGCUUUUAUACAGGAAGAAACUUACCCACGUGUGGGUAACUGACGGUACUGUACGAAUAAGGACCGGCUAACUCCGUG